UCAAAUGCAGUUAACCUUAACAUUAACUUUGGGAGUUAAAGAAUAACGAUUGAGUUACUUUUGAA
RNAcentral lists this transfer RNA (65 nucleotides) under Arion ater rufus. RNAcentral's name for it is "tRNA-Pro". Lineage: Eukaryota; Metazoa; Mollusca; Gastropoda; Stylommatophora; Arionidae. The record is from RNAcentral.